This 276-nucleotide small RNA is filed under the name Vigna angularis var. angularis. RNAcentral's name for it is "Non-protein coding transcript". Lineage: Eukaryota; Viridiplantae; Streptophyta; Magnoliopsida; Fabales; Fabaceae. The record is from RNAcentral.
UCUCUCUAGCCUCCACAUUGAUUUAGCCAUUGCAUGUUCUGUUAGGUGGUACCCUAGCGACUGUCUCGUAGAAAGCUUCAAAACCAUCCGAUUGAUUUUACGUUCUUCAACCGGGCAUUGCUUAAGUUCUUCCCGAAGUAGGAUACUGUUGAAAGUUGUGUUGUGAGCUAGACUGCUCAACUUUAAGUAGGUGAUGAUGUACCUUUGGAGCAAGCUUUGGAAGUUGAGGAAGACCCAGUCCCUAGUACUUAGGAUUUCUACUAGCUCUUAUUUUUA